Molecule: non-coding RNA, 1540 nt
Organism: Lolium perenne
Lineage: Eukaryota; Viridiplantae; Streptophyta; Magnoliopsida; Poales; Poaceae
Source: RefSeq, a predicted model, not a curated record
AGGCGAGCCCUCUCUCUUCACCUAUUUUACUCUCUCCCUCGCACUGCUAUCCUUAUGUUGCGAUUCUUUAUCGAGUCACGUGUCCUAUUCCACUUGUUACCAUAAUAAUCCUAUAUGUAUCAUUCCCUACCCAUAGCCGUUGCUUGAUGUUUGAGCCUUGCGAGUCGUAGGCGUGUUUAGGCUUUGUUGUUUAUCUCGAUCUGUUAUCGGGAUAUGUUGGGUUGUUGGGAGGUUAUCACAUGCUAUAUCAGUUGUUGUAGAUACACAUGCUCUAUUUAAUUGUUAACAACUAAAAUUGUAAGCAGAGGCAUCUGUGAGCCCCUUUGCGAAAGCAUCGGAACUUUGACUCGCUAAUGUCCCCUAGGACCCGAGUUCUUGUUAUCUGUUCCGAGAUUGAGCGCUCUACCCAUGCGUGGGAACGAUUAUUGGGACCCCCCCUCACCCAUUACCUUUUCUCAAGUCAGUUGAAAAGGGGGCCACAACCUUGGUUUUAUUUGCCUAUGCCAUGUAUGCCAUGCUUUACUUACUGUUGCCUUCGGGUGUUUACUUCCUGUUGCCUUCGGGUGUUUAUAUUCUGUACUGUACCUUGCGGGACGUUUAGCGAAGUGUGUGGUUUGCACGCCUAGCCGCCGGCGCAAACCCUGAGUCCGUCUCGGAGUACGGCCGGACUUCGUCACGGGUAGCUUAGUCGGGUGGCCCCCCUAGACUUUCUUGUUGAACUAGGAACGGUCUUGUUGUGAGACAUCGCCUGUAAGAAGCGGGUCGAGCAUGCGUAUGGUUACAUUUGGGCAACCCCUGCAGGGUGUACAUCUUAUCGAUAAGCCGUGUCCACGGUUAUGGACGACUUGGAAUUGUAUAGAUUGAUCAUAGAACAACUUACACUGUCAUCUUGUUGCUAAUAAUUUGCUAAUAACUUGCGUAGUAAUAUAGCAUUACCACAACCGAUACCUAAUAAAACUUGUCCACCAUUGAGUGCCUUUUACAUUGCCUCUUCGCAAUUGUUGAAGGGGAUAUGCGUAUUUGGCUGGGUUAUGUUUGUGUAGUAUUUAUCUGUUACCUUGUGCGCUCUCUUAUCUUAUCUGAGUAGACGGAUGUUGUAGCGUGUCUCUAUUGGUUAUAGUUUUGCUGCCGCUAAACCUACCAUAUAGCCCCAGGCGAUAUAUAUAUAUUCACCUGGCGAGCAUAGCCAUUUCUAGUCUCGCUAAGUACGUGCCGGAGUUCGUUCCUUGGUACUUACUCUCGCCUUUUCUCUUUCUCUUCUGUUUCCUCCCUUUUGUCGGCAACCGAUGGCCCGACUUCGACAGGUACAAGAUGACGACGUUAGCAAGGUUACCCUUCCGGCUUGGCCUGGGCAGGGUUAUGGACGCCACUGGUUAUCUUCAGGACUCUUAGUCCAAUUUGUAUCUUGUCCGUACUCGGACGUAUUUGAUCUUCUGUAUGAUUUGGAUCUUUGUAUUGUAUAUUUGUAUCUUGACUCGUUGGAGUCGUUGUUGUAAUAUAUGUUUCUUGUGGGCUCUAUUGUAAUCCUGUUGUAAUGUUA